UGAGACAUAGAAACAAGGGA
This 20-nucleotide microRNA is filed under the name Corchorus capsularis. RNAcentral describes it as "sRNA CCACVL1_26284". The record is from RNAcentral. Lineage: Eukaryota; Viridiplantae; Streptophyta; Magnoliopsida; Malvales; Malvaceae.